This 420-nucleotide ribosomal RNA is filed under the name Fusobacteriota bacterium. RNAcentral describes it as "Fusobacteria bacterium partial 16S ribosomal RNA". It matches the Rfam family "Bacterial small subunit ribosomal RNA", at positions 355 to 776 of the family's 1533-position model. Lineage: Bacteria; Fusobacteriati; Fusobacteriota. The record is from RNAcentral.
UGGGGGAUAUUGCACAAUGGGCGAAAGCCUGAUGCAGCGACGCCGCGUGGGGGAUGAAGGCUUUCGGGUUGUAAACCUCUUUCGCUAUCGAACAAGGCCCGCUUAGGGUGGGUUGAGGGUAGGUGGAGAAGAAGCGCCGGCUAACUACGUGCCAGCAGCCGCGGUAAUACGUAGGGCGCGAGCUUUGUCCGGAAUUAUUGGGCGUAAAGGGCUUGUAGGCGGCUUGUUGCGCCUUCUGUGAAAACGCGGGGCUUAACUUCGCGCGUGCAGUGGGUACGGGCAGGCUUGAGUGUGGUAGGGGUGACAGGAAUUCCAGGUGUAGCGGUGGAAUGCGCAGAUAUCUGGAGGAACACCGAUGGCGAAGGCAGGUCACUGGGCCAUUACUGACGCUGAGGAGCGAAAGCAUGGGUAGCGAACAGG